Molecule: non-coding RNA, 229 nt
Filed under: Pseudobacillus badius
Lineage: Bacteria; Bacillati; Bacillota; Bacilli; Caryophanales; Bacillaceae
Description: Bacillus badius T-box sequence
Rfam family: T-box leader
About the family: Uncharged tRNA acts as the effector for transcription antitermination of genes in the T-box leader family. T-boxes are found upstream of many aminoacyl-tRNA synthetase genes and some amino acid biosynthetic genes usually in Gram-positive bacteria.
Source: RNAcentral
AUUCGACCAAUGAUGGAGAAAAGUAGUUAAGGAUUGCACGUUCAGAGAGGAAGAGCCAUGGCUGUAAGCUAUUCCCGUCCGCACCGUAAUGAAGGAACACUCCGGAGGUUUUUCCUUGAACGAAGCAUUCAAGUAGAGGAAAACGCAACCAGGCGUUAAUGGAAAAGUGAAAGCGGCUAGUCCGCUUUAACCAGGGUGGUACCACGGGAAAUAAACUCUCGUCCCUUAU